AUAUGCUUGUCUCAAAGAUUAAGCCAUGCAUGUCUAAGUAUAAGCAAUUUAUACGGUGAAACUGCGAAUGGCUCAUUAAAUCAGUUAU
RNAcentral lists this transfer RNA (88 nucleotides) under Aspergillus fumigatus Af293. RNAcentral describes it as "tRNA-Pro". It matches the Rfam family "Eukaryotic small subunit ribosomal RNA", at positions 26 to 113 of the family's 1831-position model. Lineage: Eukaryota; Fungi; Ascomycota; Eurotiomycetes; Eurotiales; Aspergillaceae. The record is from RNAcentral.